AAACCCGUGUCCAUAUUGUGUGUGUGAAGAAGCAUCGAAGCGCGGCAGCCAUGUUCAGCGUGGCAUUUCGGAAGGCUUGUCAGGGGUGGAGAAGCGGGGCGGGUUGCUGUUCUUUCACCUGACACUAAAGCGCCAUGCCGGAAGCACUGAGUCUGAUACGUCGGAACCAGUCUCCACCGUGUGGUUUGGUCUUGAUUUCCACUGGUACUCUGGGGUCUUGGAUAAGUCUCUGGACCUCGCCUUUGUCAUUUGCGAAGUCGAUAGGUUCCAAUAGAGAUUUUCCCAGAAUCAUUCAACUAAAAAUAGAGAACUUUUUUUUUUUGAGAGGAAGGACGGGGGCGCAGUUAAAGAUGUUAAUGUUAAGUCAUCCCUUCUGUGAUUUCGGGACAUUAUCUUUGCACGCCAUGUGAAGAUGUGCUUGCUUCCUUGUCACCUUCCGCCAUGAUUGUAAGUUUCCUGAGGCCUCCCAGGAAGCAGAAGCCUGUACAGCCCACAGAACCAUGACCUGAUGAAAUCUCUUUUCUUUAUAAAUUACCCAGUCUCAGAGGGGUGGAGCCAAGAUGGCCGAAUAGGAACAGCUCCAGUCUACAUCUACCAGCAUGAGUGACACAGAAGAUGGGUGAUUUCUGCAUUUCCAACUGAGGUACUGGGUUCGUCUCACUGGGGAGUGCUGGACAGUGGGUGCAGGACAGUGGGUGCAGCGCACCGUGCGUGAGCCGAAGCAGGGCGAGGCAUCACCUCACCCAGGAAGUGCAAGGGGUCAGGGAAUUCCCUUUCCUAGUCAAAGAAAGGGGUGACAGAUGGCACCUGGAAAAUCGGGUCACUCCCACCCUAAUACUACGCUUUUCCAUCGGGCUUAGCAAACAGCACAACAGGAGAUUAUAUCCUGCACAUGGCUCGGAGGGUCCUACGCCCAUGGAGAAACUCUAUAAGCCAGAAGAGAGUG
This 946-nucleotide long non-coding RNA is filed under the name Homo sapiens (human). RNAcentral's name for it is "non-protein coding lnc-HTR4-1:8". Lineage: Eukaryota; Metazoa; Chordata; Mammalia; Primates; Hominidae. The record is from RNAcentral.